GAGUUUGAUUCUGGCUCAGGAUGAACGCUGGCGGCGUGCCUAACACAUGCAAGUCGAGCGAGAAUCCGGGAAGCGGAGGCUUCGGCCGAAGCGACCCGGAGGAAAGCGGCGGACGGGUGAGUAACGCGUGGGCAACCUGCCUUUCACAAGAGGAUAGCCACCGGAAACGGUGAUUAAUACUGUAUGACAUAUACGAUUCGCAUGAAUGGUAUAUCAAAGAUUUAUCGGUGAAAGAUGGGCCCGCGUCUGAUUAGCUAGUUGGUGGGGUAAAGGCCUACCAAGGCGACGAUCAGUAGCCGACCUGAGAGGGCGAACGGCCACACUGGAACUGAGACACGGUCCAGACUCCUACGGGAGGCAGCAGUGGGGAAUAUUCGGCAAUGGGGGGAACCCUGACCGAGCAACGCCGCGUGAGCGAUGAAGGUCUUCGGAUUGUAAAGCUCUGUUGGAUGGGAAGAUAAUGACGUACCUCUNGAGCC
Molecule: ribosomal RNA, 479 nt
Filed under: Peptostreptococcaceae bacterium canine oral taxon 307
Lineage: Bacteria; Bacillati; Bacillota; Clostridia; Peptostreptococcales; Peptostreptococcaceae
Description: bacterial SSU rRNA
Rfam family: Bacterial small subunit ribosomal RNA
Source: RNAcentral